RNAcentral lists this long non-coding RNA (236 nucleotides) under Medicago truncatula (barrel medic). RNAcentral describes it as "lncRNA gene18259". Lineage: Eukaryota; Viridiplantae; Streptophyta; Magnoliopsida; Fabales; Fabaceae. The record is from RNAcentral.
GCAUUCUGCACAUCCUCGGUCGUUGUCAAGAUCGGAUGGUCCUGAUUUAGUGCUCGGUAAUUUUUAUUUUAAAACAAAUUAAAAGUUGCAUUGAAUUAUGGACUGCCUGAUCUUGAUUACGACCGCAAAUGUGCCUCAUUGGUGUGAGUGGCAAAUUUGUGAUUGCACACAGUUUGAUUUCACUCCUCUUGCAGGAGCUUAGUGAUGAGUGAGAAUUCAAGAGCAAAGUUAAUGGC